UCGAUUAACAAUACAUUUGUUUCGGCCCACCCAAUACAAAAAUCCUGGAUCUGUCGCUGCCUCUACCUAAUUGUACUCUCCUCUUUUCCUGCUACCAACUCAUCUCGUUCAUCUGCUUCUGGUGUUGCAGCUGGUGUUUCUGCUGGAAGAUUCACUUAAUGAGAAAUACCCUCAUACAGUCUACGAGGAGCUUCGUGAAGCACGAGAACCGAAUGAGGUUGCAUCAGAAGAAGAUCAUAGUAGCUGUGACAAAAUAGAAGAGGAACUGGUGACAGGUUUAUCUCGGGUUCCGUGGGAGAAGGUUCAUGUCAGUUUCCACAGCAGUAGGUCAAGGUUUUCUGCUCAUAGUGUCAUACAGGCUAAAGACAUCUAUUCAUAUUUGGAGCAAGAGCCUAGUGUGAAACCUUUAAGGUCAUCAAGAAGUAAGGCAGUAAAUGCAAAAAUAUUGGCUUCUCCAUGCAUUCUUAGGGGACUUUUUUCAUAGUGGACUUAUUGUUGAAAUUGAGUGUUAAUUUGUAUAUUGUUGGUGUGAGCUAAAGGAAAUAAAACUAAGACUUUCACAUUUUGUAUUACAACAUUCCCGGUAUUGGGGAGGGUCAAAAUUACAAAGGAAACAUUGCCGAUA
Long non-coding RNA from Spinacia oleracea (spinach), 625 nucleotides. RefSeq lists it as uncharacterized. Lineage: Eukaryota; Viridiplantae; Streptophyta; Magnoliopsida; Caryophyllales; Amaranthaceae. The transcript is spliced from 3 exons. The record is from RefSeq and is a predicted model, not a curated record.